AAGGGGAGUGGAGGCCAGUGGGCGGGAGCCGGGGAACGAGCCUCUCCCCUUGGAGCCUCACCAGCACCCCAGGCACACAUUUGCUGCGCAUCGGGUGGGUGGAACCAGGGGGUUCCUCCCUGCCUUAGACCACGGUCCUGGGGGUCAGGCUUCCCGGGCAGGCCAGGGCCCCCCAGCGGAAGCACCAGCCUGGAAGGGACACCCUGGCUCUCCAAGGGAGGUCCAAGGAGGGCUGGGGAGGGGGACGUGGGAGGCAGGAGGGUGGGCCGAAUGGGGCUUACCUCCACACUGCCGGUGGAAGAUCGCAGCAUGCGACCCACCCAGGAGGAGCGGGCCAGCUGCAGGAGGCAGGACCUCUGGAACGCCUGCAGCUCAGUCUCCAGCUGGGACUUCUCCUGCUCCGGGAGGGUGCGUGGGUGGGGCAGGGCCUUCUCCCCACCCCCGGGGCCAACCCCUACCUGGCCCCUGAUCCUCACCCCAGCCUGGGUCCCCUGACCAACUCUUGAUCCCACCUGCCCCUCACCAGUUGGGCCUGUUCCUUCUGGCCUUUCAACUCCAGAGUCAGCUUCUGGACCUGGUUCUGCAGGAGCUUCUCCUGCCUGUGUGAGCAACUGGGGGAGGGGCCAUCUCAGCAGCCCCCACCUCGAGGUCAGUAGCCAAGGAAGGGAGGAGGAGGGGCUCGUCUUCACUGACAGUGGAGGCCUAAGGGCACAGAGUCCCACCGCGCCAGGCCAGGUCGGGUUCUGAGAGGUGCGGGUCAUAGGUCGAGUCUAGCUUCAGCGGCCGUCGACAUGUUUAGAGUCAGGGUCUGGGCAGGUUUACAGCAUAUUCACUCUUUCAGGGUUAGGUCGGGGGGUCAGAGUCAGGUAAGGAUAAGGGCUAGAGGCAAAAGUCAGGGUAAUUAUCAGGUGGGAGUGUUGGUCAGCCCCAGCGGUUGGGGAUGAGGGCAGACAAAAGCCAUUUCAGGCCAGGACAGAGGCUGGGUUGGGCCGAAGGACUGGCACUUUGCCGCUCACCUCUCGGGUGGCAGUCCAGCCACCUCGUACAGGAUGUGGCAGCGCCGGGCGUUCUGGCGGUUCUGGGUGGUCCACCGCAGAGCCUGGAUCUCCAGUUCCCGCUGACCCCACAGCAGCCGCAGGGUGCGGGGGUCCGAGGACUCAGGGGCCAACCUGCAAUGCCAGCACCCUUGCCACUUGAUCAGGCCCUGGCUCCAGCUGACCACCCCUCCCUCGCUUCCUUACUGCAGGUUGACGGGGAAGACCACGGGCGUGGAGCUGGGCUUGGUGUCCUUCGGGCACGCAGGAGCCACUGGGUCUUUGGGUGUGCCAGCUGGAGGCUCCGGGUGGUCGCUGACCGGCUCUUGGUCCGCCAGGGAUAAGGCAGCCUGUCUCUCAGCUUUUUCAGCCUCUUGGCAAGGCUCAGGGGCCAUUCUGGAUGUUCCUGGGGGAGCUGAGAUGGGUAGUGUGGCUGUCACCCUUGUGUCCCAUGGGUCGGUACCACGUGGGGCUCUUCUUUCACGGCCACAAGCGCGUGCCUGUGUCUGACAGCCCUAGACAGCAUCACUCCAAAAAUGCGCUUGUGUGUGUGCGCGCGUGCGUGUGCAUGCGCACGUGCGCGCCCCCAGGACACCAGAUUUCCGGCCACAUGUGUGUCUAUGUCUGUGUGGUUCUGACCAGGACAAGGCAGCAGAUAACUGUCCCCCACCCCCUUCCCCAAGCAACACGUCACCAGGGUGUUUGCACAUUUCCUGUCGUCUCUCUGUCACCCUUGCCCUCUACGACCUGAGGUCCUGCCCUCAGCCUAAGGCAAAGGUCCCCAGAGGUGUUAAUCCUUUGCCCGUGAUG
This 1844-nucleotide long non-coding RNA is filed under the name Lynx pardinus (Iberian lynx). Lineage: Eukaryota; Metazoa; Chordata; Mammalia; Carnivora; Felidae. The record is from RNAcentral.